AAGAAAACUCCAGUACCAGAUGUGAAACCUCCUCUCUGCUGCAGCCUGUUGUGCUGGCUCUGCAUUGGGCUCUCCAUGGUGUUCAAAGGGAAGCAACCAGUUCUUGCUCCAUGGACUGUGUUCUAACUGCAAUGCAAGGCUCCCACCAACACCUUCUCACUCUUAAAGUCCUCCAAAAUUCCGUAUCUUUUUUUCAGAUAGAGGUCUAAUUUUAUGUCUGGAAAAUUAUCCACUGGAACAAUGAAAAGACUUCAGUAUCAGAGAUGGCAGAGGUGAACAGCACAGGAGACAUUAAAUGGUCUAGGAAGAUUCUUAUUGUUUACAUAUGUAGCAGCGUAUCUAACCUGAAUACAUCAGAGUCCUCCCCUCAUUCACUUGAUUGACUUUCCUGACCUGUGUGCUUGUACAACCACAGAUAAACAACAGCUGUCCAAGCUGGAAAGAAAAAAAACUGGAAGAGUGAAGGAAAGGCUGAUGAACUGCAGCUUCUUACAAAAUUGGCCACCUGGUGGUUUAUCAGAAUUCAGUCCCCCACCAGCAGAGCAUGUGUGUGGUUUGGAUAUAAGAAUGAAACAAUUCACAUGGUGGAGCCCAAGCUCAGAGAGCCAGAAGAUGCAGCAGAGCCCUUACAGCCUGGCUAUGUGGGACCUCUCUCUGGGACAGGGAGACCCUAGAUGAGCACCCAGCUCCCAAGCUUCUGUUGGAGACCAACCCUGCAUCAGAUUACCACUCUGCUUCAUGGUAUCCCAAUGAAAUUUUUUGUUAGUGUGCCCUGUAAGCACUGAGCUCACCAUCUCCCACUGGAGCUGCUUGUGCCUGGCAGCGCAUCAGGUAAUACUAGCUUUGGACCCACAGAGACUGCAACAAAACAGAGCCAUUCCAUGACCAGUGCUUAUCAAGUGUAAUACUUUGCAUGGUCCUGCUGUCCAUCUGAAUAAUAUCUAGUAAGAUACACUGAG
Molecule: long non-coding RNA, 959 nt
Organism: Gallus gallus (chicken)
Lineage: Eukaryota; Metazoa; Chordata; Aves; Galliformes; Phasianidae
Source: Ensembl